GGGGAUGUAGCUCAGUGGUAGAGCGUCCGCUUUGCAUGCUAAAGGUCCGGGGUUUAAUCCCCUGCAUCUCCA
Nematostella vectensis (starlet sea anemone) is the source of this 72-nucleotide non-coding RNA. Lineage: Eukaryota; Metazoa; Cnidaria; Anthozoa; Actiniaria; Edwardsiidae. The record is from the annotation of a RefSeq genome assembly.